This is a long non-coding RNA of Tigriopus californicus, 1227 nucleotides long. RefSeq lists it as uncharacterized. The record is from RefSeq and is a predicted model, not a curated record. NCBI's taxonomy places the organism in Eukaryota, Metazoa, Arthropoda, Copepoda, Harpacticoida, Harpacticidae. The transcript has 4 exons.
AGAUAUAAUCAUGAAAAUCGGUCUGUCCUAACCAAAUCCGACGGUUAUAGAAGAAGAAAAAGUUCUUUAAGGCACAAUGGAAGUUCUUCAGUCUACCGCAAUAUUCAGAUCUCUGAACCACCCAACCUCAGCCAAAGGCCCUCUAUUCUUUUGUAAACGUUACACAGAGUUUUUAAAACGAGUACAUAAGACUUAGUGUUGCCAUUUUGUUGCGCCACUGCCUAAGCGCCCCCUGGCCCUUCCAAUUGAGCGGCCGCAGGCUUGCGCCGCGGCCUAGGCGCCCCCUGACCCUUGCAACCGAGCUGCCGCAGGCUUGCGCCGCGGCCUAGGCGUCCCCUGGCCCUUGCAACCGAAAGGUUAGGUUAGGUCAGGUCAGGCUAGACCUUAGCACUUUGGGCUAGACUUUCUGCCGGUCAGCUGAGGACUUAGUUCAUUUUCUGUGCAGCUGUCAUCUGUUUACCACAACAGGUCGAUGGACGAAGGAUAUCAUUGUGUUGAUUAGCGGUUGGCGAACGUGAGGCUUUUGAACCAAACCCCUGUCUAACGCUGAUGUAUCAAGAUGAUCGAAAAAUUUAUUUGGGUUUCCUUGGAUUGGGGCUUCUUCAAGUUGCCCUUCUAUUUGGGCAAUACCGCCUUCAUAAACGAUUAGAACGGCUAGAGGAUCGGGUGCAACGGUUAGAGGCACGGAUGCAACGGUUAGAGGCACGGAUGCAACGGUUAGAGGCACGGAUGCAACGGUUAGAGAAUAUCUUCAUCUCGAUUAGGCCAGCCAUCGGGGCAUAGCCUGCUCAAGUCGAAGAUCCUCUGAGAGAAGAGCCUGAACACCAAGAUCAGCAACAGCCACUACCACUUAUUGUGGUGUACAGCCUUCCCAACCUGAACAUCAACCCCGUCCAAUCAAUCCUCAUGCAUGCGUCAAUGGCUAUUAGUUUUAACAAAUACAUAUUCAUCCGAGACCCAAUCUCAGUUCGUUUUCUAUACCUAAAUUUGGAUUUCGCGAAUUUCUCCGCAACUAAACUACUUGCUGAAAUGGGGUUUGUCCAUCGAUUGAACGAUCCAAAAAACACAUAUUUCUGUGGAUUUUUCACUUAAACCAUAAAAAUCACUUAUUCUCUUUCUUACUCGGAAAAAUUUCUUAUCUCCUAAAUUGUUCACUUUAUUCCAAAAUAGCACUUCAUACAACCACAAAAUCUUGUUGAAUAGAUGGACUUGGCCAAGUUUGAGCCC